ACAGAAGAAGGGACUCCCUUAUCUCCCAUGGGACUGAGGCCUCCAGUUACCAACUCCUGUCUGGUUUCAUGUCCUUUUCUAUCUGGCAGUGGGAAUAAUGUUUUUAGUGAACACUGUUCUCUGGGUGACAACACAUAAAGAACUGAAAAGAAAGAAAAAGUGGAAUUUAGAAAUCUCUUUGGAUUCUGGUCAUGAGAAGAAGGUAAUUUCCAGCCUUCAAGAAGACAGACAUUUAGAAGAAGAGCUGAAAUGUCAGGAACAAGAAGAACAGCUGCAGGAAGGGGUGCACCGGAAGGAGUCCCAGGGGGCCAAGUAGCAGCGGCUCAGUGGGUGGCCAUGGAUCUGGACCAUCCCCUGCCCACUUGCUCCCCGUGAGCACUGCGCACAAACACCCAAAAGUUCAACAACACCAGAACUGUGUGUCUCAUGGCAUAUAACUCUUAAAGCAGAUAAAUGAACUGACUUCAACUGGGG
Molecule: small RNA, 474 nt
Filed under: Pongo abelii (Sumatran orangutan)
Lineage: Eukaryota; Metazoa; Chordata; Mammalia; Primates; Hominidae
Description: processed transcript
Source: RNAcentral